Chlorocebus sabaeus (green monkey) is the source of this 3404-nucleotide long non-coding RNA. RefSeq lists it as uncharacterized. The record is from RefSeq and is a predicted model, not a curated record. NCBI's taxonomy places the organism in Eukaryota, Metazoa, Chordata, Mammalia, Primates, Cercopithecidae.
GAGUGAGACCCUGUCUCAAAAUAAAUCAAUAAAUAAAAAGAAAGAAAACUACUUUGCUAAAAUAGAAAUAAUCAUAAAUUUAAUACUUAACAGUUAUUCUGAUCAGUUUAAAAGAGCUCCAUUAAAAAUAACCACAAACUAUUGCUUCUCGGCCUUUUGGCUAAGAUCAAGUGAAGGAUAACCACAAACUAUAAUAACCCGAGAAGAAUGAAUAUAGAUAUUUAAUAUUGAAAUUGAUUCUUUCUCAUCUUCAGGCAUUAGUAUGUACCUGUUAUUCCCUUUGCUUAUAACACUCUUCCCUCACCCUCUUCCUUGACUAAUCACCUACUUUUCCUUCCAGUCUCAGUUUAGACGGCACUAGCACUGAGAAAACUCGCCUUGGCCUCUCUUCCCUCUAUCUGCUCGUCUCAAUCCAGCAUACAUGUGUCAGAGCAGCUAGUUACCUGAUGACUUGGCAAGACCUAUGAAAGAAGAACCAUUUCUAUCUCAUGGGUAUUGUGGAAUAAGUGGUUAAAUUAAGUAUUUAAGAAAUAUAGAAAAAAUAUUCUUUCAUUAAAAAGAGAUUGGCUAGUAUUUGUGGUAGGCAGUCGCUAAGAUGGCUCCUAAUAAUCCCCUUCUCAUGAUAUUCACAUCCUUGUAGCAAUCCCCUUUUCUUCAGUGUGGAAAGAACUUAGUGAUUAACUUCUAAUUAGUAUAACAUACUAACGUGAUGAGAUGUGGCUUCUAUGAUUAGGUUUUCAAAAAACUGUGACUUCCGUCUUUCUGGCUACUCUCACUCUCUUGCUUGCUUUGGUGGAAGCCAGCUACCAUAAUGUGUACUUCCCCAUAGGAAGGUCCAUGUAACAAGGAACUGAUGCCUGUGACCGACAAGGAACUGAAUGAGGCCCUCAGCCAAACAGUUGAGAAUUCCAUCAACAAUGACAUGGGUGAUGCAUCAGAAUACAACAGCACCCUUUAUCUCCAGGGCAUGCGUUCCAACACCUCCAGUGAAAGCCUGAAACCAGUUCUGAACCUGACUGGCAUCAUUUGGAACACAUUUCUGUUCAUCUCUCCCAUCCAGAAAUUUAAUGCCUUUUCCAUCUUAACUAAGCGUUUAUCAUGUACUGUGGCUGUCACUUGUGCGGUUUGAAGGGCCACAGCAAAACUAGCAGGAAUUUUUUUUCUUCUUUCAUGGAUUGAAGGUUCUUUCUUACCAUAGAUCUUAGCAAACUCAGCAUACGAUUUUUUUUUUUCUUUCUCUAUUAAGUCAAAAACUUUCACCUUUUCACUUACAGGAAACACUUUACGACUUCUCUUUGGCAAACCCGAAUUGCCAGCAUCACUACUCUUGCGCUUUGGGGCACCUAUGAAGUAAAAUAAGAGUUCAUUGAGCACACAGCACUUUGAUGCACAACAGGCGAUCUGAUAACCUAGAUGGUCAGUAAGUGACUAAUAGCACUACUCAGAACGGUGUGGAGUUUCAAACUUAUCAAUUGUUUAUUUCUGGAAUUUUCCCUUUAGUGAAACCAAGGAAAGCAAAAUCACCGAUAAAGGGAAUUUCCAUAUAUAUAAACAAAAAACAUUUACUGAAUACAAGAAUAAACUAUUACUUCUCCUCUCUGGCUUAAAACUAUUCUGAGCAUUCCCCUUAAGAGAAUAGCACCUGUUAAAUGGAAAAGUGAUUAGCUAUUAUAAGUUUAGAAAAAACGCAAAAACUACCAUAGAAUCUUUAUUCAUAAAAAUCCUUAAAACGAGAAUGGACUAAUGACUUUCAUUCAUUUCAUAUUCGUGUAUAUUGUGCCCAGUCUUUUUAAAGAUGGUGUCAUCCAGGCAAAGCUGAAUGAGACAUGAAGCCUACCCUCUCUUCCUGUUCCAGAAAGUUCCUGGUUAGAAUUUUACUAAAGGCACUCCCCUUAACCUACUCUUCCUGUACAAUUUUCUUUCUUUCUCCCUCAUCACCUUCAUUAGUUGUCUCUUUAUUUGUAUUUUGUUUGAAUGCUUGCUAGUCUUAUUUGUUGAAUAUAAUGUUUCCUUUAUUAUAAACCACCUCACCAUGAAUAACAUUAAUUUAGAGAACCCAGCUUACAAUGCCCUGUGUAACCUGAUAUAAAACCCAAGUGAAUCUCAAAUCCAAUAGAUGGAGAUCUAGAUAGGGUUCCUCCAGUCUCCACACUAUUGACCUUUGGGCUGGAAAGUUCUGUUGUGGGCGAUGUUUAGCAGCAUCCCUGGGCUGUACUCACUAGAUGCCAACAGCACCUCCCCAACCCAGAAACUUCACAAGCAAGCGCUAGGGAGUAGGUGAGGACAGGAGGGACAGGGCUUCCAUCCGAUUGCACAAACUAGCGCCAGUAGGAAGUUGUCCUUUUUACUUCAAUUUAUUACAUUAUGCAAUAGGAAUCAAUGCCCUCAUUCUGUGCGUUCAGUCCAACAGUCCCUGAACUAAAUCUGACAAAGGCUGGCAGCAUAUUAAAUAUCCUGCCCCCAGUGGUGAAUGCAGAUUGGAAUUAGUUUCGUUCCACCAGGCUAAUAGUUGGUCUAAAACAAUGUUUCUCCUGAGAGCCUGUUAGAUAUGCAAAUUCUGGGCCUGACCUCAGACAUGAGUCAGAAUCCCUUGGGCUAGAGCCCAGGAAACUGUAUUUUAACAAGCUUUCCAAGUGGUUCUUAAGCAUGCUAAAGUUUGAAGUAAACUGUUAUAGGAUAUACACAUGCCCUCAUAACUGUAGCCUAGACUCAUGAUCUCCAUGAGGAUUGCCUAGUCUAUUUAACUGGGCCUGUGCUCCAAAUACUUCCAGUUUGCAGAAUCAAAGGGAAGUCCUGCCCUGAAGCUCCACCCGCGAGGCCCAAACCCUAAGCUGUUUGCUUCUGCUAUAUUUAUUUCUCCCUAGGGACUGGAUACUCUCAGUGUCCCUCAGUGCUGAUUAAUGCUUUGUUUCACAGAAACGGACACAGAGAACCAUAAAAAUUACUACCUACAGUAGUACUAUCACUCAUUAGAAAUUCUGGAAGCCACUUCUGAUUUGUUCAGAGAUCAGCGUUGACCCAGAUUUAGGUAAAAUACUUGGAUCGUUGUGAUUUUUAUUAUUGUCCACCAGACUUAAUGACAUCCCACAGUCAAAUUGGGCUGCUAGCCCUGGCCACAUGCAGUGUUGCUUCACUUUUCCCUGAGGGGUCCCUUAUUCAAGUACCAGCAGACUUCAUGGCAAGGCCUAAGUCAGUUAUGAUCUUACAUCACUGGUAGAGACUUGGGCUUAGAGACUUUACAGUGUGAAGUUCCCUGGUGUGUCAGGAUGUUGGAGAAUCCAAGAGUUUAGUAGGAUUUGGCCCAACAAUGCCAUAGUCUUUCCUGGAAAAAAAAAAAAAGUCCUUGCAGAAAUUUCCAAUUUCAAUUUUCAUUUUUUUAAAUAAAAUAAUUUGCUUCCAAGUUA